This is a long non-coding RNA of Papaver somniferum (opium poppy), 1995 nucleotides long. RefSeq lists it as uncharacterized. The record is from RefSeq and is a predicted model, not a curated record. The transcript is spliced from 2 exons. Lineage: Eukaryota; Viridiplantae; Streptophyta; Magnoliopsida; Ranunculales; Papaveraceae.
UCUUCUUUUGCUUUCUUCUUCUUUAUUCUUUUUCUUCUUCUUCUUAUUCAUUUCUCAUUCUUCUUCUCUUUCUUUCUUCUAUGCUCUUCUUCUGUAAACGUUGAGAGGUAAGUUGAGAUCCGAUUUUAUUGAAUCAAUUGAGGUUAGUAUACAGAUGCUGAAGGUGAUAGUGCUGCUGCGAAUUAGGAAGAGAACUAUAAGGAAUCGGAGAUAUAAAUCAAGGGAAAUUUCGUUAGGGUUUUCUAAACUCGUUAACUGAAUUCGUAUGCAAUUGAUAUGGUACUUAGGUUGCUUCCAGAGGAAUAUGACAAGGGUUGUGGUUGAAUUGAAGCUUAGCAGUUGACGUGUUGUAAAAUUGAAGCAUUGGGGUUUCGAGAAGUUGGUUUGAAACUCAAUUCGAGAGAUUAAUCGUAAGAUUUGUGUUCAGUAGAAGGUGGAAUAGAUCAUGGGGUUUAUAUUGGUGGUGGUACUGGCUCAAGCGGCUGAUACAGAACUUGGAGAAAAGGUAAUUAGGGUUCUUUAAAAUUGAAGAUUAAAUUGUGUGAUUUUGAGUAAUUGAUUAAGAAACUAGUGAUGGGUUUUGAUUAGAUCUGAAGUAGAGAUGUUUAUAUAAGUUUAAUUUUGAUUUUUAACUGAAGUUAGGGUUUCUGUUAAAUUGUGAUUGUUGUUGGUCGAAGAAUUUGUGCUAAUUCGAUAGGGUUUGAGUUAAUUAAGGCAUUGAUUUUAUUGUGUGUGGUUGUAUUGCUGGAAUUUUGGAAGUUAAGGUGAUUAUUGUGAGUCGGGAACUAGAGUUAUCUUUUGGUUAAAAACAUGAAGAAACUAUAGGUAUUUCAUUAUGCAGAAGGGUUGGUAACUCAUGGAGAAACUACUAAUGACUAUCUCAAAUGGAUGAAAGAUGAUGAUGCAGUUGUAGAGUGGAGAAUCUGUUUUGGUUGUGUAUAGUUGCUGAAGUUAAAUCUAAUGAAGCUAAUGGAAGGAGUCGUAGUCAUGUUGAACUGAGAUGAAUUGAGGCAGAUGAGAAGUGGCUCAGUUGGAAGAUAAAGUUUAUUACAAUUCAGGGAAGAUUUGAUGUGGUGCUAUUGAGUAUGGAAAUGGACAGAGCUAGAUAUUUGUGUGGAGAUUGAAUUACAAUUGGGAGUGAAGUAUAAUUCUAUAUGGGUGUUGUGGGACUGAGACUAUUUUGAGGUAAUUAUCCUUCUCAAGGAAUUUGGUAAAGUUAACUCUUUAUGUUGUUUCUUAUGUGAUUGUUAUGGAGCCAUGAAUUGAGAUUGAGUUUCAUUGAUUAAAAUCUGUGUUGUUGAUGAAGUUGUGAAGCUAGAAAUGUUAUGGUUGAAUAGUGAAGUUGCAUUUAGUUGUAUGAAUGAGUUGUUGCGGAUAUUAGUGGUAGUGUUAUUGGUGUUUCUUAUGUUGUCUGUAAUUGGAUGAAGUGACAAUGAUGAUGUCGCAGGAAUUCAAGUUGAGUGUGCCGAUUUGCUUGUGUGGGUUGUGUUGUUGUUGGUGAGGAUGAAGGUGUCGAUAACAGGGGAUGAAUGUAUAUGAGUUGCAAUUGGUGCAAUCUAGGAAUUAGUUAUAACCCUUAGAAGUGGUAGUUGUAACUUAGAUAUAUCUAGAAUUGCAGAGAAGUGGUGUUUAGAGAAUCUGGCGGUGAUUCAGUUUAUUGGAAUGUAUUACUAAAAGCUGCAAUUGCAGUUAGUCUAUAUUAACAUCGAUCGAUUCAAAGGAUGAACCAGUGGAUCGUGGAUCUCGAGGUAGGCGUGGCUUUUCAUCAAAAGAGGUGGGAAUAUAUUUGAAUCUUUUGUAACCAUUGUUGUUUCUUUUACAAAAAUUUUAUGCUUAACAAACUCAUGCAUUUUCUAGUGUGCAUUCCAUGCCUUAUUUAAAUUGCAUUAAGAUAAUUCUGUUGAUUCUUUGAAUCUUCCAUGAAAUGGAAAGGACUUGUGAGGUAUGUAAUUAUGGAUUGUUAUGGGAAAUGAGAAUUUCCACUUGUGGUAUAUA